UGGGAUUUUGGAACCCUAAAGCUCAGUUCC
This 30-nucleotide non-coding RNA is filed under the name Mus musculus (house mouse). The record is from RNAcentral. Lineage: Eukaryota; Metazoa; Chordata; Mammalia; Rodentia; Muridae.